AUUGAACGCUGGCGGCAUGCCUUACACAUGCAAGUCGAACGGCAGCGCGGGGCAACCUGGCGGCGAGCGGCGAACGGGUGAGUAAUAUAUCGGAACGUACCCUGGAGUGGGGAUAACGUAGCGAAAGUUACGCUAAUACCGCAUACGAUCUAAGGAUGAAAGUGGGGAUCGCAAGGACCUCAUUGCUCCUGGAGCGGCCGAUAUCUGAUUAGCUAGUUGGUAGGGUAAAAGCCUACCAA
RNAcentral lists this ribosomal RNA (239 nucleotides) under uncultured bacterium. Its description in RNAcentral is "partial 16S ribosomal RNA". It matches the Rfam family "Bacterial small subunit ribosomal RNA", at positions 30 to 271 of the family's 1533-position model. The record is from RNAcentral.